This 649-nucleotide long non-coding RNA is filed under the name Homo sapiens (human). Its description in RNAcentral is "non-protein coding lnc-MYO7B-1:1". The record is from RNAcentral. Lineage: Eukaryota; Metazoa; Chordata; Mammalia; Primates; Hominidae.
UGGAGUGCAGUGGCACAAUCUUGGUUCGCUGCAACCUUCGCCUCUUGGGUUCACGCAAUUCUCGUGCUUCAGCCUCCCUAGUAGCUGGGACUACAGGUGUGCACCACCACGCCUGGCUAUUUUUUGUAUUUUUAGUAGAGAUGGGGUUUCACCAUGUUGGCCAGGCUGGUCUUGAACUCCUGGCCUCAGGUGAUCCACCCACCUCGGUCUCCCAAAGUGCUAGGAUUACAGACGUGAACCACUGCACCCAGCCAAAUAAUUCAAACUUAAAGCUGUUGGAACUUAAAUUGUUCUGAGUCUUGAGAGGAAUGUGACUAUGCAGCCUGAGUCACAUGGCAUGCAGCUGCAACUUCUGCCUUUUUUCCACCUAUAAAUAAUUGAGACUAAGUGGUGCCAGAGAUAAAACCCCCUCAGAUCACUGCCCCUUCUACAGAGUAAUAAUGUCAUCUUCCUUGGGAUGCAGCAAUCUGUAACCAAUCAAAUCACUGUAACAUAUGCACUGUCUUGUAUGGAAAAUGUUAUAAUCCUGCUAAAAUUUUUCUGUCUGUCUCUGUAUAAGUAAAACCUUAACUUCUUCACUUUGGAACGCUGAACCCAUUCGUUUGGAGUUGAGGUCUCCUGGGUGGCUAUCCGCACACUCAAAUAAACU